ACUUGAAUAGCUUAUGUAAGAGCGCUACACUGAAGAUGUAGAUGAGAUUAAUAUUAAAUCUUUAAGUA
This 68-nucleotide transfer RNA is filed under the name Mastotermes darwiniensis (giant northern termite). RNAcentral describes it as "tRNA-Phe". It matches the Rfam family "tRNA". From Rfam's summary of the family: Transfer RNA (tRNA) molecules are approximately 80 nucleotides in length. The record is from RNAcentral. Lineage: Eukaryota; Metazoa; Arthropoda; Insecta; Blattodea; Mastotermitidae.